Long non-coding RNA from Sorghum bicolor (sorghum), 2832 nucleotides. RefSeq lists it as uncharacterized. Lineage: Eukaryota; Viridiplantae; Streptophyta; Magnoliopsida; Poales; Poaceae. The transcript has 6 exons. The record is from RefSeq and is a predicted model, not a curated record.
UAUAUUUAGCAUGUUUUUAUGCAUGGUUAUGAGAUGAACUUGUCCUGAUUUCACAUUGGACAUGGGGUGCUCAAUUAUGUUAGUGCCAAUGCCAGCUUUGUCUUAGAAGCAUUCAUUUUUUUUCUAAUUACAGUUCAGUAUUCUUCCUAACUUACGUGUUCCAAAUAGAUCAACCUAUUCUGCUGUGAAUUUAUCCUUUUUAAAUUUUGCACCAAAAAUUAGAGGAUGAUGACUUAGAGAAAAAUGAUUGCCUUCUGUUUAAAUGAUGCACAGCCUGACCAUUAUUGUUGAGUCCAUAGUAUGGCCACACGACAGAUUGAUGGCGAUGGAGGGACCCGUUUCAUUUUGCCAUGGACGCCUGCAAUUGCUUUCCAAACUCUAUCCUGCUGGCUUUUGGAAGAGCAGAGAUCUUGGAGUUGUUUUGCAGAAGUAUGAAUCCUCACUAUGUAGCAAAGUGUCGUGUUGCAGCCGCAGCCUACUCGAUCCACUCUCUCGGGCAUAUGAGAAGAGCCAGCAAACUUGUGUGCUACUGCAUUAUAUGUGGUCAUUACUUCGAUGGUGGAAAACAAAAAUUUAUCACAUUUAAAGAAUUAACCGGAAUUCGAGUAGAAGCCUGGCAAUAACGGCAAGCAGGAGAUGGUCACACUCUAGACCAAGCCAGUGUUGAAGAUGCAAUCCUUCCUCUUCCAAAUCUCCAAACACAUGAAAAUAAAAGGAAACAUGGUACAGCACACUCAAUGGUGUCAUUGACCUUGCGAUUCAUAGGGACCUCACCACUAUAAGGCUAUUAAUAAAAGAGAUGGUGCUCCGCAUGAAUUUUUGAAGCUCCAUGGUCAUCAUGGCUUAUUUCAGAUUGAAUGAGGAUGGCGACAACUUGUCUGGUGUAAGGCCUGCUGGACAAACUUCUUUUCAUGCUAGAAGAGCGGUUGCUAAGGGACUACCAUUCCUAGAACUGCAAUUAUCACGUUUGUUUUUUUGUUGUUUCCGUUUCAACGCAUGGGUAUAAUCCUAGGCAGUGCUGAUGGAGUUGAUUGUAUUGUCAAAAUAGAGCUAAGAGAGUGUGUGCAUCUGACAAACCACUUUGGGCUAUUUAUUGUUGCUCUAUCUUAAUUUGUAAGUUUGGUUAACCGUGAGAAUUUAAUUAUUUUUUACAAUAUCAGCCAUGAGCCUAAAGUUUUAGAGAUAUUUUCAAUGACUACUUGAUGAUUCUUUUUCUUUUCCUAUUCAUGGUUUCAUUUUUUUUAUUUCUGUAUAUUUAGAUUGCAAUAUGAACAAGGGAAUUAUGUCAUAUAUGGAGGAACUCGAAUUAUGAACUUAUGUCAUGUGAUUCCUGUUCAUUGUUCCAGAGUAGAGAGCUAGGAUCAGCACCCUUGUAGUUGUAUAUGUUUAUGCCUUUCUUCUAUUCUUUUCCUCACAUUUACUAAAUACUAUUGUUCUUCCCACAUUUUCUUGACCUUUUAGGAUUAUUUAUUUAUUUAUUUAUUUAUUUAUUAGUAUUCAGUAACAUGACCCCCUUGCAAUUUAGCUGUGAUAAUGAACCUUUAACUUUUAUUGGAUUACAUGUUCAAGAAAUUGAAAAAUAUUACAAAAUUAUCAAGUUAAUUUCAUGUUCACCCGUCACCACCUAUCCAGUUCAUGCCUUCUAUUUAGAUCUUUUAUUAGGUUUGUUGUUAUUUUUUUGUUAUGUCAUGUAUGCAAUGGAAUUGCUGAAAAUUCCUUGACAUAGCAUUGUUCUACAGGAUGCCCUUGCUAUAUAAUCUCAUGUUUGUUUCUUUGUGAUUGUUGAUGGCAGAAGAUAAGAAGCACUCAGAUCAUGCUUUUUAUUUUCCUAUACAAUAGUUGAAACUAAUUUUGUUUAAUAUUUCUCUAUUAUAUGUUAUGGAGCUAUCAUUUGUAUUUAAGAAAACAAAAAUACCAGUAUAUUGGUGUAUAUUCUCUCUUAUGUUCCUGUUAGUUGUAUAGAAUGUGAACUAUAAAAUAGAGACAAGGAAUCCUCAACAUACUCAGGUAAAAAUCUAUUUAUGGGAUGAUAGUAUGUGUGAAGUCAUUUGUAUUCAAACAACAUUGGAAUUCGAAUUUAUAGUCAUCAGAGCUUUGAAUUUGAUUUUACGAACUUUGUCUUUUGGAUUAAAUGUCACUUUAACAUCGGUAUUUAAUUUCGUAGUAUUAUUAUUUUAUCGUGUGAUCCGUGUGUCUUUUGCUUAAAAUUUUAGUUAUCCCGUAGCAACGCACGGGCAUACUACCUAGUCUUUUAAAAAAAAAGAGGUCAUGCCCCCACAACGCAAGGAGCUAAUUUUGGUAGACCAUUCACACAGGUUUUGCACGCGCUUCAACCUGGUCCUGUGAGGCGAGGGCAAGUGAGUGCAUGCGACUUCCUUUCUCCUUCUUUCACUAGAAAUGAGAAAGUGGAGAAGACUUCUAUAUUUAAGCAUGUCUACUUCCACUUCUACAAGCAAAGACGAAACUUGCAGAACUAGACAGUGAUCCUCCAAGGCUCCAAUUCAGAGCUGGGCGAAUGGAGACUUACCGGUGAAAGGGCAUCAGGCGCAGGCGGCGUGUUCCUCCAUAGGCUCCAUGCUCAGAUUAGGAAUUUGAAACAUGGUGUAAAGAGUUGGAGACUCGGAGCGCAUAUACCGUAUGGGUUCACUUGUUGAGUAGACCUCGUUACAUGGGCCUCCCGUCAUCAUGUGAUGGUGUCUAAGUAUGUUUUUUCAUUUUUAUUUUUUACAAAUACAGCAUAUACACUAUAUUAUAUAGUAUAUAUAUAUAUUACUUGCCGCCAGUUUUGCAGGGUAUGCCAGUGCAUACCCGGCAUACCCUGUGGCUAUACCA